UUCGCAAUGCCCGAAAGGGUGACGAAGCGACGCCGCGUGAGCGAAGAAGGCCUUAGGGUUGUAAAGCUCUGUCAAGGGUUAUGAAAUAUAGAUGAGUUAAUACCUUGUUUAUUUGACAAAGGCCCAAAAGGAAGUCACGGCUAACUCUGUGCCAGCAGCCGCGGUAAUACAGAGGUGGCAAGCGUUGUUCGGUAUUAUUGGGCGUAAAGAGCACGUAGGUGGUUUCGUAAGUCAGGUGUGAAAGCCUUCUGUUCAAAGGAAGAACGGCAUCUGAAACUGCUAAUCUUGAGUAUAGGAGGGGAGAAUGGAACUUCUGGUGGAGCGGUGAAAUGCGUAGAUAUCAGAAGGAACGCCGGCGGCAAAAGCGAUUCUCUGGCCUAUUACUGACACUCAGUGUGCGAAAGCUAGGGGAGCAAACGGGAUUAGAUACCCCGGUAGUCCUGGCCGUAAACGAUGGGCACUAAGUAGAGGGGUUUUA
This 478-nucleotide ribosomal RNA is filed under the name uncultured anaerobic ammonium-oxidizing bacterium. RNAcentral's name for it is "bacterial SSU rRNA". It matches the Rfam family "Bacterial small subunit ribosomal RNA", at positions 365 to 833 of the family's 1533-position model. The record is from RNAcentral.